This 1462-nucleotide long non-coding RNA is filed under the name Cyanistes caeruleus (blue tit). RNAcentral describes it as "lncRNA (ENSCCEG00000016293.1)". The record is from RNAcentral. Lineage: Eukaryota; Metazoa; Chordata; Aves; Passeriformes; Paridae.
GGAGUGCCACCGCCCCGGCCCGUGCUCCCCGCCCGCUGUCCCGGGACGGCCUCCGCCCUCCUCCCCGCCUUCCCGCCCUCCUCGCAGCGCAGCCCCUGCGCCGGCCCGCCCCCGCUCCAGGAGCACCGGCCUGGGACGGGAGAUGGGGCCGUGGGAGGGCACUGUGGGAGUGCUCUUCACGGCUGUGGCUUAGUGUGUGCUAAGGGACCUGCCCACAUGUGGGUUACAGCUGUUGUGAGUCGUUCAGCCAUCGCACACCCUCUGUCUCCGUGGACUGCCAGUCGCAGUGGGAGGCUGCUCUGAGUGGCAUAGUCUGAGAAACUCAACAGAGGAGUCUGCAGCUAUCACUGGGAGGAAGAGGUUUGGAGAACCCAGAGAAGAAAUUGCUGGAAUGACCCUGGUUCUCAGAGGAAAAAUAAACAGGCACAUGACAUUAAUCACAGUCCUUGGGUAUCGUAUUGGAAGUCUCGCAAAUACUUUCGAUGUGGAAAUGUGAACUAGAUGCCAGAAGAGUUCAAAAGUUUAUGAAGACAACCUUGAACAGCUUGCAUCUGUGUGUGUAUAUUUGCAUAAUUGGGCUAAGUUUUCAUUUGAGAGAAAAUAUGGAUCACAUAAAAGGUUCAGAGGUGAUUCAAAGAUCCAGAGUCCCUUCAGCAAGUACUAUCAAACAUGGCCAAAAAUGUUUUCUUUAAGAUAGUUUGCCAAGUUAUUUUCUUUAAGAAUAUAUGAAGCUUCUAUUCUUUCUGCAAAAAAAUAAUAGUAUAUAAAUUGUAUUUACCAGUGUGUCAAAAGUCACCAGUAUAAUUACCAGAGUAGCUAUCUAAUAUAUCUAAGACUUAGCUAGAUAAGAACCCUAAAUAUUUUUCCAUGGUUUUGGCUAUCCUACUUUUGUGUCUGUGCCUAUGGAUAUAUGGUGCACUCCUAACCAAAGACUUUUGCAAAACAUCUUGAUUUUUCAAUAAGGAGUUGCAGUAGAACAACCAAGAAAUUUAAUAACAAGCCAAACUUUGGGAAAUUUAGCUUUUUUUUUCUUCCAGAGCACUGUAGAAAUGUUGUGGUUACAGGCAAAAUGACAUGUACUAGAGAACCCACAGCAGGAAGGACACCGAGAGAUGGAUCUGUUGCUAAAACACAUCAUUAAAUAACUCACAAGGAAUAUAGUAGCUAUUCAGAUUCAUUGCCAAAUUUUCGGGGUUUAAUACUUUAAUUUCAUCAUUGUUAAAUAGGAUCUUUCUUAGCAUUUGUGCUGUAAGAUUUAGAGAAAAACCCCAGAGUUGAACCUACUAGACCACAACAUAUUUGUGGCUGCAGAUUUAUUGUAUUUUGUACUUAGUACUUCAUUGCUGCACUCUUAUUUUCCUUCAUUUCUGUUGCUAGUAUUAAGUACUAAAAAUAAGCUCACAAAAGCUGUAUGUGAUAUGAUAGUAAUAAAAAUCAUAGAAGCAUAGAAUGACUUUAGUUG